GCGAUCUUAGUUUAUUUGUAGAAUUGUGGUUUGUCUUGCUAUUGGAGGUGUUAGCCAGAUCGCU
Molecule: transfer RNA, 64 nt
Filed under: Pseudanoplocephala crawfordi
Lineage: Eukaryota; Metazoa; Platyhelminthes; Cestoda; Cyclophyllidea; Hymenolepididae
Description: tRNA-Asp
Source: RNAcentral